AUUGAACGCUGGCGGCAUGCCUUACACAUGCAAGUCGAACGGUAACAGGUCUUCGGAUGCUGACGAGUGGCGAACGGGUGAGUAAUACAUCGGAACGUGCCUAGUAGUGGGGGAUAACUACUCGAAAGAGUGGCUAAUACCGCAUGAGAUCUACGGAUGAAAGCAGGGGAUCGCAAGACCUUGUGCUACUAGAGCGGCCGAUGGCAGAUUAGGUAGUUGGUGGGAUAAAAGCUUACCAAGCCGACGAUCUGUAGCUGGUCUGUGAGGACGAUCAGCCACACUGGGACUGAGACACGGCCCAGACUCCUACGGGAAGCAGCAGUGGGGAAUUUUGGACAAUGGGCGCAAGCCUGAUCCAGCAAUGCCGCGUGCAGGAUGAAGGCCUUCGGGUUGUAAACUGCUUUUGUACGGAACGAAAAGCCCCGGGUUAAUACCCUGGGGUCAUGACGGUACCGUAAGAAUAAGCACCGGCUAACUACGUGCCAGCCGCCGCAGUAA
Molecule: ribosomal RNA, 498 nt
Filed under: uncultured bacterium
Lineage: Bacteria
Description: partial 16S ribosomal RNA
Rfam family: Bacterial small subunit ribosomal RNA
Source: RNAcentral